Molecule: non-coding RNA, 21 nt
Filed under: Arabidopsis thaliana (thale cress)
Lineage: Eukaryota; Viridiplantae; Streptophyta; Magnoliopsida; Brassicales; Brassicaceae
Source: RNAcentral
UUGAUGGAGAUGGUCUAAACU